Molecule: long non-coding RNA, 526 nt
Filed under: Panax ginseng (ginseng)
Lineage: Eukaryota; Viridiplantae; Streptophyta; Magnoliopsida; Apiales; Araliaceae
Description: long non-coding RNA (PGIN_LNC018999)
Source: RNAcentral
GAUUAUAGAGGAAUACACCAUUAAAAUACACUUUACACAUAAAUCAAGAUGUUUUUCACACAAAGCCCUAUACCCUUUGCACAAAGAAUCUUUGUUCGUGCGUAAACCAAACCAUUUGUAUACCACCCCCUGAAUAGGACUUCGGCAGUGCUAAGAUCUUGUCAUGGGAGGAAAGGGUAGAAAGAAUAAGAAAGUAAAGAACCAUUUUUUUCGUGCAGAUUUCACUUUCUCGGGGGUUCUGUUCCAGCCAAUCCUAAGUGCUUUGAUAGCGUGCCAGCCGAGCGACUAGCUUUCAGAUAGGAUAUUUUCAGUGAAAGCCGGGAGUGGGUUAGCAGCAAGGUCAUCCUCUCUUUUGAAACAACCAUUUUUGUCUGAUUUCCGGGUCAAUUCAAAAGGAAAAUCAUAGUUUUUGUUGCUACCUGCCUUUUCAUUUCAGCCCCUUGCGCUAACAUCGUUCAGUUCCCGGGCCCCCUAUCAUCUGGGGAUUCUUUUUUCUGGGAAAAUGAGAUGCGUUGGAAACCAACUA